Molecule: ribosomal RNA, 253 nt
Filed under: uncultured bacterium
Lineage: Bacteria
Description: partial 16S ribosomal RNA
Rfam family: Bacterial small subunit ribosomal RNA
Source: RNAcentral
UACGUAGGUGGCGAGCGUUGUCCGGAUUUACUGGGCGUAAAGAGCGCGCAGGCGGUCGUAUAAGUCGAAUGUGAAAGCCCCUGGCUCAACUAGGGAGAGUCAUUCGAUACUGCUCGACUCGAAGGCAGGAGAGGGAAGUGGAAUUCCGGGUGUAGUGGUGAAAUGCGUAGAUAUCCGGAGGAACACCAGUGGCGAAGGCGACUUUCUGGCCUGUUCUUGACGCUGAGGCGCGAAAGCUAGGGGAGCAAACGGG